ACGAACGCUGGCGGCGUGCUUAACACAUGCAAGUCGAACGGUGAAGCGAGUGCUUGCACUCGUGGAUCAGUGGCGAACGGGUGAGUAACACGUGAGUAACCUGCCCAUCACUCUGGGAUAAGCACUGGAAACGGUGUCUAAUACUGGAUACGACCAACCCUUGCAUGGGGUGUUGGUGGAAAGAUUUAUCGGUGAUGGAUGGACUCGCGGCCUAUCAGCUUGUUGGCGGGGUAAUGGCCCACCAAGGCGACGACGGGUAGCCGGCCUGAGAGGGUGACCGGCCACACUGGGACUGAGACACGGCCCAGACUCCUACGGGAGGCAGCAGUGGGGAAUAUUGCACAAUGGGCGAAAGCCUGAUGCAGCGACGCCGCGUGAGGGAUGACGGUCUUCGGGUUGUAAACCUCUUUCAGCAGGGAAGAAGCGAAAGUGACGGUACCUGCAGAAGAAGCACCGGCUAACUACGUG
RNAcentral lists this ribosomal RNA (468 nucleotides) under uncultured bacterium. RNAcentral describes it as "partial 16S ribosomal RNA". It matches the Rfam family "Bacterial small subunit ribosomal RNA", at positions 29 to 507 of the family's 1533-position model. The record is from RNAcentral.